Molecule: long non-coding RNA, 752 nt
Organism: Sander lucioperca (pikeperch)
Lineage: Eukaryota; Metazoa; Chordata; Actinopteri; Perciformes; Percidae
Exons: 3
Source: RefSeq, a predicted model, not a curated record
UCUUUUCUUUUCUUUUCUCUUCUCUCCUCUUCUCUUUCUCCUCUUUUCUCGUGGAUCAGAAAGUUGCUCUUCCUGGGACAAACUGCUACCGAAACACUAUUGGCUGUGGCCUGCUUCGUCUGCUGAGAGGAGGAGAGACUGUUAAACACUUCCUCAGCCUUUCACACAGUGCUCACUAAGGAGUGAUGUUUAUCUUAAACCAAAAUCUCCGCCGUUCGGCCGGUGGUUGCCUGAGGGAAUAAGGAGGAAUGGGAAGGGAAAUUGCUUUCCCAUUGAGCGGCUCCUGCUGCCGCAGGGGUGCACGGCCUCCGCUGGGACAGAGGUAACAUGCCCGCUCCGACACUCGGCACUCUGCUGGCCAUAUGGCAGCAUGUGGGCCACAUGUCUGGACCUUCAUAAAACUUCUCAUCGCUUCCGUGUCUUACUGAAGGAUCAUUUUUCAUUUAAUUUCUUCAUGAUGACGAUGUUUAUUAUUUGUAGGCCUAUUAUUAGGCUAUUAUAGGAUAUUUCAUAGCUAGCUUCCAUAGCCUUAAAAAAUAAAAUGUGAACAAACUCUAUUUUGAUUUUUUUUUAUUCAGCAAUUAAUUAUUUAAAAAUGUAGAUUAGAUGACUGAACAAAAACUGCUCACAACGUAGCCUAUACAAGGACAGGGAUGUGUUGUCAUUUCAAGAAUUUAAUUCAAAAUACUUUAUUUGUCCCUUAAAGGGGAAAUUUGGGGCAAAUACAAAAACACACAAGCACAUUAUUUGUA